GAUGAACGCUAGCGGCAGGCCUAAUACAUGCAAGUCGAGGGGUAACAGGAAGUGCUUGCACUUCGCUGACGACCGGCGCACGGGUGAGUAACGCGUAUACAAUCUACCUCAUACUAGAGGAUAGCCCGAAGAAAUUUGGAUUAACACUCUAUAGUAUCAUUUAAAGACAUCUUUUUAUGAUUAAAGGUUACGGUAUGAGAUGAGUAUGCGUUCUAUUAGUUUGUAGGUGAGGUAACGGCUCACCUAGACUGCGAUAGAUAGGGGCCCUGAGAGGGGGACCCCCCACACUGGUACUGAGACACGGACCAGACUCCUACGGGAGGCAGCAGUAAGGAAUAUUGGUCAAUGGACGAAAGUCUGAACCAGCCAUGCCGCGUGCAGGAUGAAUGCCCUAUGGGUUGUAAACUGCUUUUAUAUAGGAAGAAAAACUUUCUCGUG
Molecule: ribosomal RNA, 438 nt
Filed under: uncultured bacterium
Lineage: Bacteria
Description: bacterial SSU rRNA
Rfam family: Bacterial small subunit ribosomal RNA
Source: RNAcentral